CCUACGGGCGGCAGCAGUGGGGAAUAUUGCACAAUGGGCGCAAGCCUGAUGCAGCCAUGCCGCGUGUGUGAAGAAGGCCUUCGGGUUGUAAAGCACUUUCAGCGGGGAGGAAGGCGGUGAGGUUAAUAACCUCAUCGAUUGACGUUACCCGCAGAAGAAGCACCGGCUAACUCCGUGCCAGCAGCCGCGGUAAUACGGAGGGUGCGAGCGUUAAUCGGAAUUACUGGGCGUAAAGCGCACGCAGGCGGUCUGUCAAGUCGGAUGUGAAAUCCCCGGGCUCAACCUGGGAACUGCAUUCGAAACUGGCAGGCUAGAGUCUUGUAGAGGGGGGUAGAAUUCCAGGUGUAGCGGUGAAAUGCGUAGAGAUCUGGAGGAAUACCGGUGGCGAAGGCGGCCCCCUGGACAAAGACUGACGCUCAGGUGCGAAAGCGUGGGGAGCAAACAGGAUUAGAUACCCGAGUAGUC
This 465-nucleotide ribosomal RNA is filed under the name uncultured Klebsiella sp. RNAcentral's name for it is "bacterial SSU rRNA". It matches the Rfam family "Bacterial small subunit ribosomal RNA", at positions 338 to 795 of the family's 1533-position model. Lineage: Bacteria; Pseudomonadati; Pseudomonadota; Gammaproteobacteria; Enterobacterales; Enterobacteriaceae. The record is from RNAcentral.